AAUAUGGGAGAUAAUCAUAAAAAUUGUAAAUGUAAACAAAUCGUGACCGGAAGAAUGCGAUUUCAACACAAACAAGACGAUCAUAACCAAAAAUAAACAAAUAUUUUCAUAUAUACAGUAAACAAGUUAUUUAUCAUAAAUCGUCCGAAGUGAAACAAACACUUUUACAAUGACUGUUGGAUGGGAAACUUUAGAUGUUGGAGAGCAGGUAAGCUCGCAGUUUUAUUUAUCCACACCAAGGACGUAUAUUAGACGUAUGUUAGUUAUACGUCCUUGUCCACACAUAACAGUUCUUGAAAUUAUUUUUGGUAAACAAUAGUCGAGCCUAUUAUAUGUCAACAGCAGGUCAACAGGCACUCAAUGUCCCAGAUGUUGGUAAAAUUUUGCUUCCAACUUUGGCUCAUUAAACUCUGAGCUUCAAAUGGAUAAACAUUGCGUCUAUCUUUUUUUUUUUCGAAAUAUUUAAAAUAAUUCAAAUAAUUUUACUAUAGUUGAUACACAAUACAUUUUUUUUUUGGGGGGGGGGGGGGUGUCUGAACUCGGAUCCUGUAUUGUUAAUUUAGAAUCCUGUAUCAUCCUGAUUCUCGUUGCCAUAAUAGCACAUGUAAUUUCCAGUCCCGCAGAAAUUCGUUUCCUGUUUUCACGCUUUAAAAUUAUUAAACUCUCAUAAAAAAAACUGGCCAACCCCACAUUAAGUUUGAACCCCAAUGACGCCCACUUUGUAAAAUGUUUAGAAAGCACAUAAUCAUAAAAUGGGCUUCAAUUUACUAAAAAUCAUCAAAUCUCCAAGCUUUUACUAAGGUGUACAUUUGUUUAAAAAAUUGAUUUGUGAUAAAUAGAUUUCUGUUUUAAUUAGUACAAUAUUAUAACCAUAGUUAUACAAUACACAUCAUUCAAUCAUAGUGGUGUAUUAGGUGAAAAAUGCCAUAAAAGUAAAAAAAAAAAUAAUCAGAUUCACUGUCAUUUAGUACAUGUAGUAGUAAGCAAAUUCUGAUGCCACUGCUUCUAGGCAAAGAUGACAUUAAGUGUUACCAUUGACGGUCUCUGUCCAUCCUUCUGUCUAUCCUAUUUGGAUUCCACACUCUAUAUUAAACUUUUGAUUUGUCUCAUUUAAAGGGGCUCUAGAUGUUCACCGAUUUUAAUCACAAAUUCUAAUAUUUGUCAAAUUGAUUUAUAACAAUGUAAAACAUUUAUCCAAACUAUUAAAUGUUUAUCACCGUUUUAACCUUAUAAGAAUGAUUUUUUGUGGAUCAAAUCAGUCAAUCAAAUGAUUUACCUUUCUUUCACUUUCAAUGUUGACAUUCUUUUUCUUUAAAUAACUUUACACAUACAAUUCACGUGAUGUCCAUCUCAAGCUAAGGGGUUGAAUUGAAGUUCACAUGAAUACGGAUUCAAUGAGGUCGAAUUACUCACUUGCAAUAAUUCAUAAUCAAUGUUUUUUUAGCUUAUUUUGACAAAAUUGAACCAUACCGCGCUGGCUGCUAAAAGCGAAUCAUUAUUUCACUAUUUGCAUUUCAUUAAUGAUUGAGCAAAAAAAAAAAUAAUGGUAUUAAUUCUUUUAUAUAUCUCGUAGCUAGUGCCCCUUUAAAACAUAGAGUGAUAUAUGCUCUGAAAGAGUAUUUUCACAUAUAUGCAGGCUUGAGAGUGUUUACAAUGGAUUGAAUAUACAUUUACAAAGUACAUGUUACUCUUUGAAAAUUGAGCACUCAUACAAAAUACUAAGAACCCAAACUGUCUGACAGAGUUUGAAAUUAAUUAGUGAGUCAUCUACUGAUCUCUUACUUUGAAAAUUGCUAAUUUUUCCAUUUCUGCACCUGAAUUUAAUUUUGCCUCAUGAAUAUGUUAUGAAACUCAAAACACAAUGCUAGGAACAAUACUAGCAGACAGAGUUAGAAAUUGGGCAGUGUACUAGAGUUAAUUCCCUUUAUAAUUUGGAAACUUGGAAACAAAUUUAAAUUUGUUUCUACACUCUAUUCUAAAAAAAGAAGGGACGAAACAGUAUAGAAAGAUGUAAGAUAAAAUAUCUUUACAAUGAUUGUUUCAAGCAUAAUUAUUGUACAGUUUUCUUUUCUUUUUCAAGGCAUUAGUUUAUAACCAUGAAGGUGAAGCCAGGAUUGAAGAGGGACCUAAAAGGGUAAGCUGCUUUAAUAUUAAUUUGAUAUAUUUGGGGAUAUUUUAAAUCAUUUUGGUCUAAAACAUUAAGCAUGUUAAGUGGUUAACAUGGUUAAGUAUAUUAUAUUUUAAAGGAGAUUAAAACAGCAAUGAACAUGUGUCAUAGUUUUAAAGAGUUGUAGUGAACUGUUUGAAAAAAAUGGAUAAAAUGAAUUGUUUUAAGUAAGAAAUCUAAGUUAAUGUCAGAGUUUACCAAUAGACAGACAUUAAUUUACCAAAGUGUUUACUUUGACAAUAUGAAUGUAUAAAUAAGAAGAUGUGGUAUAAAGUAUGACAAAUAACACCACCUUAAGGAAACAUUACAACCAAGCCAUAGAAAAAAAAGUUGUUGUUGGCCAUGGUUAGCUCAUUAUUUGAUGCAUUCUACUGUUGUAGUGGCAGAUAAAAUUCUAUUUUAACAGGCAAAAAAAGAAUGAAUUAAAACAAAUGAGAAAGGGUUUUGAUUCCCCGUAAACUACAAAUAUGUACCUCUGUUAGUUAAUAUGUAUAUUUGAAGUACUUUUGAUAUCAAUUAUUGGUUGAUUCAACAAAAUUCCUUUUCAAUAUAUUUGAAUAGAUUAAAUUCACCUUGUUGUAAGGAGAAAAGAAAACUAAACUUGCAUCAAAAUAGCAACCUUCCAUAACUUGAUUAACAGUGAAAAGGAAUGAAAGUUUUGACAUUUGAUUUACUUAUUGGCCAAUAUCUAUUGCAGUUAUUUUUAUGGAGAGAAAAAUUUCAGAUACUAAAGAGGAAUGCAGUGAACCAGAAUUCCUAUGCAAUUGUAAGGUACAAUGAUGGUCAAGUGGAACAUUUGAAAGGGUAAGGAGUCAUGCAUGUAGUUCUUUUUGUUCUUGUUAUUUAGCUGAUAGUCAAACUGAUUGUACAAAGUAAUAAUUAUAUAUAUAUAUAUAUAACUGCCAUACAUGUUUUGUAAAAAUAAUCUCUACUGCUUAAUAAUAUUGGCACAGGUUGGUUGUCAGUUUCCCCCCAUAUAAUCCAUAGGCGGAUCCAGGGGGGCCCUGAGAGGCCCUGGCCCCCCUUUUCGUGGGAAAAAUUUGGUUGAUUAUAUAGGGAAUCAUUGAAGCAUGACUGGAGCGGCCCCCCCCUUAGGAAAAGUUCUGGAUCCGCCUAUGUAAUCUGUCUAAUUUUGUGAUCAGCACCCAUUUAUAUAUGUUUUAAAAUACCUCACAACGGAUGUGACUGGGACAUUUUCUUUUGAUUAGCCUUGGACUUUAUUACCAGGGUUGAACUUAUGACAAUUGGAAUGGUUAUCUUUUAUUAAUUACAAACUUAUAUAACACAUUCACAUACAGCGCAUGUAUAUGUAACAAUUUGGUCAAUAAGAACAAAAUCUUACAAAUUUUUCUACAAUGAUAAUCUAUAAUAAUAACUUUAUUCAAUGGACCCCUAUGUUUAUAUGGAUCAUAUAACCUUUUACUUGUUCUAUAAGAAAUAUCAAUGUAAAAAAAACUUUUUGUAAUAAGAUUUUAAUUUGUUUUAAUUUUUUUUUUAUGUUUUGACUGACAUAUAUUUACAGGCCAUGUGUUAUAUAUGAGAAUCCACUUCACCACAAGUUUGUGAAGGCCUAUCCAAUGGAAUCACUUGAUGCUAAUGAAGCUUUAGUUGUCUAUAAACAAGAUAAGGAGACCAACAAAGUCACUAGAUAUGUACAGUUUGGACCAACCUUAUUCAUGCCAAAAGCAGGCGAAUGGUAAAAACAUUUUUUAUGCCCCACCUACGAUAGUAGAGGGGCAUUAUGUUUUCUGGUCUGUGCAUCCAUUCAUCCGUCCGUUCGUCCGUCUGUCCCGCUUUAGGUUACAGUUUUUGGUCAAGGUUAUAGUUUUGACCCCAAUUUCACGGUUAAAUGAACACAGAAAAUGAUAGUGCAAGUUUCAGGUUCAAGUUUUUGGUUAAGGUUUUUGGUCAAGGUAGUUUUUGAUGAAGUUGAAGUCCAAUCAAAUUGAAACUUAGUAUACAUGUUCCCUAUAAUAUGAUCUUUCUAAUUUUAAUGCCAAAUUAGAUUUUUUACCCCAAUUUCAUGGUCCACUAAACAUAGAAAAUGAUAGUGUGAGUGGGGCAUCUGUGUACUAUGGACACAUUCUUGUUUUUUAUGUCCCUUCCUUGGGUAACAGGGACAUUUAGUGUUACUUUUCACCAUCCUUGUGUCUGUCCAUCGUUCAUCCUUCCGUAUGUCCCAUUUUUUUUUACCGCUCUCUAACUUAUGUGUGCAUCAUACAAAUUUUAUGACCAUCAUACACAAUGCUAAGAAACAAAACUAGUUGACAGAGCUUUUUUAUGAUAUUUUCAUAUGAAUCUAUUUUCACAUUUUAUGUGUUUUAAGGAAUUGUACAUGUUGAGUUCUAAAAAAUUCAUUUACAUGAAAUUAAUCCAUAGAAAACUUAUUUGAAGAUUAGGGUUAGAAAUUUUUUGUCAAGUUGGAAAAUCAGGAAUGAAUUUUUAUUUAUUACCGAUAUGCCAUUUGUUGAUUGUUGGUUGCUUUACGCCACAUUAGCACAAAACGGCUAUAUCGCGGCGAUAUAUAUGCCAUCUGUAAAUUUAAAAGUAAUAAUGAUAUUUAUAAUUAUAACAAAGCACAUUUUAGUGCUCUCACACCUACAUUUCAACUGCAGUUUAGUUUAGGUCAAAGCUAUCAUCAGCAGAAUUUAGGACAAGUACAAAAUUUAGAGUUGAUUGAUUAUUUUUGUGGGGAUAAGUACUUUGAAUUGUUUUAAAGUUAUAUUGAAAAUCAACUUUGUAAUCUAAUUUGCAAGUUCAUUCCUUAUUGGAGUUUGAGGAAAUUUAUGUCAGAUAUAAUAAAUUUGCAUUAGCUGUGACACAAAAAAGAGAACCGUAAAUUAGUGUGGACUGAUUAUUAGUCCCCUACCGAUGAAGUCAAAGGGGACUUAAGGUUUGUACGCCGUUCGUCUGUCUGUCUGUCAAUCUGUCCAUCUGUCAGUCCGGCAAAUCAGUUUUCCAUACUUUUUUCUUCAUGCUUAAAGAUAUUGAUUUGACGUUUAGUUAGUUUUUGCAUUUUGGUCUAUUUAUGAUAAUAAGUUUCUGCAUUUUUUUUCAUCAUGUUAGAAGAUAUUGAUUUGAUAAUUGGUAUAUAGUUUAACCAUAACAAGUUACAGAUCAAAAUCGACUUUUGUUUUGGUCUGAUGAUUUGUGCAGAGUUAUGGUCCUUGAACUUAAAAAUUCACGCAAAAAAUCAGUUUUCCGAAUCUAGAUUUUUUUUUGUCAGGCUUGAAGAUAUUGAUUUUGAAAAUUGGUAUAUAGUUUUAUUAUGAAAAGUUACAGAUCAUGAUUGCAUUUUGUUCCUGUAUGAUGAUUUUGUGCAGAGUUGUAGUCCUUGGACUUAGAAAAUUAACUUGAAUAAUCAGUUUUCAACACUGUUUUUGUCAUGCUUGAAGAUAUUGACUUGAUAUUUGUUACAUGUAUACAGUUUACACCAUAACAAGUUAUAGAUCAAGUUUGAAUUUUGUUCCAAUACAAUAAAUUUAUAACCGUUAGGAAACUAUAUAUUGCCAUGCAAUACUCACAGAAUGCUUUUUUUAUGGAAAUUACGCCCCUUUGAAAUAUAGGCAAUUAGAAAAGUUACAUUGUAAGGGAUAUGGGUAUUGGCUAUCCUGAAGCAAUCUUGAAAAUAUAAUUGACCUUUUAUUUUACAGGCUACAUGAAUUUUGCUGGCAUGGAAUAGAUCCAGACAACAAAACCAGUAUGAUACCAAACAGUAACAGAUUCUCAAGAUUGAAAAUUAUUCCAGAUCAGUUUUAUUAUAAUGUGAGUAACGACAAAAAAAUUCAGUUAAUUCUUUAUGUUUGUAUUCAAAAAUUCGAAAUAGUGAACUUUCAUGGCCCUUUAACAAAGUUGUCGGAACCAUAUAGUUUUACCCUUAUCUGUCAUUUCUUCACAAACAGUUAUACAACGUAAAUACCUUUUUCUAUGUCCCUUCACAUAUUGAGCUGAUUUUUAGGAUGAACUUUGAAAAAUUUAUUAAAAUAACAGUUAUACCGACUUUCAUUCUGAAUUUCUAUUCCCAAUAAUGGCUUUCAAGCUUUUAUUGCAAGCAUGGCCAUUCAUGUUGUUCCGGUACAUCUAGUUGUAAAUUAGAAUAUAAGGAUAAAAAACAGCAAAAAACAAGCAUAGCUUUAGAUUGUUAGUAACUGAUUUAAUUAACCUUUUCUGUAUUUAUUUUUGUUAAAAAAGAAAAUACUGCAUAUUGUCAAAAUUCCACUCUUUUCAGAACAGUGUUUGAUUAAAUAAUAUUGGUUUGUUGUUUUAAAGGUUGAUGAAGUGAGAACAGCCGAUGAUGCAGCUAUCAGGGUCAAGUUAAUGUUGUUUUAUGAACUAAAAGAUAUAGACACAAUGGUAAACAUAAUUAAAAACUUGGGAGAACAUUGUUAAAAUACAAAUUUUGUCUUAUUGCCAAUCAGUGCUUUUAUGAACAUAUGACCAUUUGGAAUAGUAAAUUUUAUGAUAAAUGCACUUACCUGUAAACAAAUUGUCUCUCCAUAAUACAUUGGGUUGAUAUUUUUAUGCCUAUUAUAAUGCCAGAGUAACAUUUUGAUUCUGCAUUUAAGUUUUGUAGAUCCUUUUGUACAGGAGUAUGGCAUUUGUAUGAAGAUUUUUUUACUCUUAACCCUAAGAUUCAUUGACUUUGGAUGUUUUACUUCAAUUACAUAUAAGUUUGUGAUUAGGUCAGGUUAAAGGUAACGUUUUUCUGAGAUUUUGGAUUGGCAUAUUGUUCGUGAAAGAACAUUCUAGAGUGACCAGUUUGUUAAAGAUGCGACAUAUAUAUGUAAAAAUAUUCUACAUUUAACUGAUCAUAUGUUAUUUUUCAGCUAAAUGCCACCAAAGAUCCAUUUUCAGAUUUUAUAAAGUAAGUAUUAAUCAUGAUCAUGAUAAACAGCUGUCUUUGAAAUUUUAUAAAAGUCUUAUUAAAAUAAAGAAUUGAUGAAAAAUUGUGUUUUCUUGUUUUGCCAAAGUCUGUAUACCAGUCUAUAGGUAAUUUGUACUUUGUUGAAUAAUUAAAUUCAUGGUUAACCUGUUCUCUUAAAAAUCACCAGUAAUUGAUAUCCCACUAAUAGUUAUGAAUGCUCAGUACUCAGGGAAAUUCCCUGCUGUGUUAUUCAGUUUCACUUGAAUGAGCACCUUCUAUUGUUGAUACAUUUUAAGGACUGUUUCCAGAAUAAUACAUGCUCCGUAUCAAGGAUCCGGAAAUUUUUUCACCUAAUUUCGGUCAUUUUGGGAUAACUUACAAGUUGGUGCCCUUUUUAAACAAAGAUUGUGUGUAUGCUCAUACAGUCAUACUCGUAGCAUCAACGAACUUGUUUAACUGUUGAAUCGCAUUUACUUCAGAAAUUUCCCUACCAUGUUCUAAAUCGAUCUGAGCAAUAAAAGGAAGGCACCAGUUUAAAAAUGAAAUGAUUUUAAUGACUCAAAACGAUAAAUUUCUCAAACUUCGCUUACGUCCUUCUUUCGAUUUUGAAGACAAAAUUAUAACCGGAUGUUUUACGACAAUAGUAAAACGACCAAUUCCGGACUCAUUUCCGGUUAGUUUUGUUUAUCAAUUCACAGGAGAAUCGUCGGCUUUUUAACUGUUUUACCUUUAAUAGUGUUUGAAUAUUAAUUAUAAUAUGGACUUGUUUAAUUUAGCAUGAAAUCAUUUUUAAUUUACGAUUUAGUGUCUAAUUUGCGGAGAGAAUUUCAAGCAUGCGUAUUAGUAAACAACACGUGUGUUUGUAGUGAAACAAUAUUUUGUUUACGUAAAUUAAUUAAUUUAAUUUAUUUUAAAUCAGGAUUGACAAUGUUCUACUGAGAAAAAGUAAUUAAUAAUGCAGACAGUUGUUAUGAACUUUUAAUUUCUUUAAAAUAUUAGUUCUUGAGCUCGUGAUCAAUAAAUUAAUUAAAACACAGUAAAGAGAUUAGCGAUCACAGCGAAUAUUUCCCGGAGGCAUUACUAUAGUUAUUAGGGGGCCCUCAGGAUUAUAACACUUUACUGGAGUGGCAGUUUUAUACAGGAAAGGAUAACAACAAAAAAUAAGUUCAACAUUGCGAUUUAGACAAUGUUAGAAACUCGAUCUCACGAAAUGACAUGAAUGACCGAAUUAUUUCUGUAAAAAAAUAAAAUUGUCCUAAAUCCCAAUUACUCAUUUAGGACAACUACUUUUCAGUUUAGGUCAAACUGCAUAUAUAUGACCGUUUCCGGACCCUUGCUCCGUAUUGUACAUUGUCAAGAACAUUUGAUUACUGUAUAUACAAUCAUCUUUGAAAUAUUGUUAAUUAACUCCUCUUUGUUAUGCAUUACUGGUAUGUUUUUGGAAAAUGACGCAGUCAUUGUCCAUUACUGGCGCUGAACUUCAUUACAUUCUCUGCCUACCGCGCUUGGUUUCGUAUUUACUAUUUUUCAUACAAACUGGAAUCUGCUUGUGUUAUCAUUAUGCAUGAUCAUUGUGUAGUAAUCAGCCAGGAACCAGUUUACAAACUAUGGUUUUGCUUGUAUUUCACUACACCCGAACAAAGUGUUGUAGUUUGACAGGAACCAGUUUAGAAUUGUAAACUACAAAAACGUAAUCGGUUAUUGACAUCCGUUUUGGUGUUUCAUACCGACUAUAUGUUUGAAUAAGCUUAAGCCCUUCACUUAAUGUGAUAGUAUAUAAAGCUGUUUACAAAAGGAUGGAAUGUUUUGCUUUUCAAGUCGUAUAUAGUGAUAUCUGUUUGUACGGAUUUCCACUCUCACCGGUUAUUUCUUCUUUUACACGUCUUUUGAAAUUCCUGUUAAACAUCGACAAGUUUUUAACUUGUUUUUUAGUGAAUUAAACUUAUUGAAACAAUCAUGACGCGUUCCAGACAUUUAAGCAGUUCUUUUCUCUUGAUGAUGGAAAAUAUGUUUUCCAGAAAAUACCGGCAAACGUCGCAAGGAUUGAAACGUACAAGUCAAGUGACACCUGAAUAAAUUGGCAUUAGUCAAAUCGGCACCUAUUUGACGUCAAUUCGGCAUCCAAUAAUAUUUGUUAUAAUAUUUUCUAUUCAAUUAAUUAAUAACAGGUACCAAGUACAUAGUGAAUUUCACUGUAAAAUCCACCGUCACUCACUGAAUAUGUUAUUGUGUAUUUUGGUAAACAACGAAACCAAAGUGAAUAUAAAAUUGAGAAUGGAAAUGGGGAAUGUGUCAAAGAGACAACAACCCGACCAAAUAAAAAACAACAGCAGAGGGUCAUGAAGCCUUUACCCAAGCUAUUGUUUUAACAAUUAGACAAUAAUUAAAAUAAAAUGGAAAACUAUGAGUCCCUUUCAAUAAAUCAAACUGUCAUGCCAAAUAAUUAGCAAAUUUUAGGUGGUUUUUUUUCAGUAAAGUUUAAACAGCAUUAAACAAACAAUCCUGUAAAAUGCUCAACUGGUUAAAAUAAUGCAUAAAAAUAUCCAAUAUCUCAUGUAUUAGUCCAAAAAAUAAUGACGUCUGGCAAGGCUAUUUUAUUUUUUUUUCUGGGACGCCUUCCUUAGACGUUCGUAGGAAGGCUUCGUAAGAAGGCGUCCCAGAAAAAAAUUAACAUAGCCUUGCAGUCAUAAGAAGGUGUCCCAGAAUAAAAUUUAAAAAGCCUUGCCAGACGUAAUAAUUAUUUGGACUACCGUAACGGUUACUCAUAUAUAUAUCAUUAAAAAUAAGCCAAAAAAGUCAUUUAGUUGAGAAAAAUAAAUAUAUCCGUUUGAAUGGUUUUACACUAGUAAUUUGGGCCCUUUAAGCUGUGUUCGGUGUGAGCCAAGGCUCCGUGUUGUAGCCGUACUUUAACCUAUAAUGGUUUACUUUUUAAAUUGUUAUUUGUAUGAGGUUGUCUCAUUGGCACUCACACCACAUCUCUAUAUCUAUACAAUGUACAUGAACACCCAAAAAUGUGAAAGUUAUUUUCUUUUUGCUUAAAUACUGAAAAAAAUUCUGGCAACCCCUUUCUUAUUUUUACUCUUUUUGCUUAAAAUACUGUUAAAAUAUAUAUUUAACAUGGGUGACGAAUUGACUAUAUCCAGUGUCGAUUUAACCAGGUGCUUAUUUGUCCAGGUGCCAAUUUAACCAGGUGCCGGUUGACUAGAAUUCUUUGACAAAUGUUUGAAAUUACCUGAGUUUUCAUUAGACCUUUGAUAACAGUAACACAAAGAUUAUUUACUUAAUAUUUUGUGGGAGAAGGGGGUUCAGACUAUGGUAUCAGGUCUGUUCGCGCCCAAUACAUUUUCACACCCUACACGUUCGCACCUUGCACGUUCACACCCAAGGUCCUUUCGCACUCUACUCAUUCGGCCCAAUUUUAAUUCAAAUUCAAGUUGAAUAAUUGGAAAAUCAUGAUUGUUGUUUUAAAUUGCAAUAACAAUACGCUAUCCAAAACAUGAUUAAGAUUUAUUCAACACAAACACUCCCAAGGGUGAUUGGGGAAAGAAUAUGUCACUUGGUCUUCUCCGACCGCAGUAAAACGCUUGUGAGUGGGGUGUCCGUUUGCGUGCGGAUGUAUCAAGUAGCAGUCCGUAAGUCAGAAGGGGGACGUUAAUCUGAUGCCUCGGUAAAGAGAGUCCACGCUCUUUGCACGUUAAGACCUGAACAAUUUUAAGGGUCCGUAGGUGGCCUGUUGCAAGGCCAAAUUUCUGUUCCUAUCCAAUAUACCCUCUUUUUCCGGUGGCAGUCCAAAUUUCUCCGACCAUCAUCCCAGAUGGCCUCUAUUGUAUCAACCUACCUAUUGUAUUUAUGUGAACUUGUUCUCGUCCUGAAUAUGCAUGAAAUAUUUGCCAACUGGACGUUAAGAACCACAAUAUCAAUCAAUCACACAAACAAAAAUGCUGUCUCACUUUAUUUUAAGACAAUGACAACAAUUAUACUUAUAAGAAAACACUUGCUUUAUAAUACAGAGUUACAAAACCAAUUAAGAUUGGGUGCGAAAACAUGUAGGGUGUGAAAGUGAAAGAGGGCGAACAUGAGUUGGGCGCAAAGGGACCUGGAUUCAGACUAUGUACCAUUGAGAAAUAUACAAGCCUUUCUACGGUAUUCAUUUGUCUUCAGUAAAAAAACAGCCAGUUGUCCACCUUCACUUCACACACACACAUAUUAUUUGCUUACGAGACAUGUUGCAUUGUUAAACUAAUUACGGUAUGUGAAAAUCAAGACUUGCAUAAAAACUAUCCCAAUAUUAGAGACAGUGGCGUCAUUUUUCUUCAGAGCUUUCAGCUCUUUGAUUCAGUUUAGGUGUCUGUAUGUUUGUUCAUAGGUCCAUCUGUCUGUAUUGCUGCAAGUUACAGUUUGUGCCACAUUAGAGUUUUGACCCCAAUUUUAGAGUGCAAUGAACAUAGAAAAUGAUAGUGCCCGCUAAUUGACCCUAAUUCACGUUAAAGUUUUGGUCAAGGUAGUUUUUGAUGAAGUUGGAAGUUCAAUUUACAUGAAACUUAGUAGACAUGUUCCAUAUGAUAGGAUCUUUCUAAUUUUAACCCCAAUUUCACAGUUCACUGAACAUAGAAAAUGAUAGUGUGAGUGGAGCAUCCAUGUACUAUGGACACAUUCUUGUUGAUGGUCAAAGUAAUAAACUGUGCAAGUUUGGGUCUACAUUAUGAAAAUUCUAAUACAUAUUUUUUUUUCAUUACAGCUGCGUCUGUGCAGAUAUUAUAGCUUAUGCUUCUAAAUACACGUAAGUAAAAACUAAGUGGAUUAAAAAUGACAAAAAAUUAUAAAAUAGAAAAACUCAAUCAUUGCACUUCUUCACGAGUGGAGAUGUUUGUGGUUGCUGUCUUCAAUCAUUAUUUUUGGGCCAGCUGAGCUUUUCUCAUCACUUUGCGUCCGUCGUCCGUCAUCGUUAACUUUUACAAAAUUCUUCUCCUCUGAAACUACUGGCAAAUUUAACCAAACUCGGCCACAAUCAUCAUUGGGGUAUCUAGUUUAAAAAAUGUGUAUGUGGACCCACCAAACCAUCAAGAUGGCUGCCAUGGCUAAAAAUAGAACAUAGGGGUAAAAUGUAUAUUGGCUAUAAUCUGAAACCAAAGCAUUUAGAGCAAAUCUGACAGGGGUAAAAUUGGUUAUCAAGUCAAGAUCUAUCUGCCCUGAAAUUUUCAGAUAAAUCAGACUACUGGUUGUUGGGUUGCUGCCCCUAAAUUAGUAAUUUUAAGGAAAUUUUGCUGUUUUCGGUUAUUACUUGAAUAUUAUUAUAGAUAGAUAAACUGUAAACAGCAAUAAUGUUCAGCAAAGUAAGAUCUACAAAUAGUCAAAUGACAAAAUGGUCAGUGACCCUUAGAAGUAAUUGCCCUAUAGUCAUUUUUUCCAAUUUUUGUAAAUUUUUGUAAGUUUUACAAAAAUCUUUUUCUUUGAAGCUACUAAAACAAAUUUAACCAAACUUGUCCACAAUCAUCAUUAGGGUAUUUAGUUUAAAAAAAUAUGUGCGGUGAACCAGCCAACCAACCAAGAUGGCCGCCAUGGCUAAAAAACAUAGGGGUAAAAUGUAGAUUUUGGCUUAUAACUCUGAAACCAAAGCAUUAAGAGCAAAUCUUACAUGAGGAUUAAAUUGUUUAUCAGGUCAAGAUCUAUAUGUCCUGAAAUUUUCAGAUGAAUCAGAGAACCUGUUGUUGGGUUUGCCCCUAAAUGGUAAAUUUAGGAAAUUUUGCCGUUUUUGUUAUUAUCUUGAAUACUAUUAUAGACAGAGAUAAACUGUAAACAGCAAUAAUGUUCAGCAAAGUGAGAUCUACAAAUAAGUCAAAUAUGACCAAAAUGGUCAGUUGACCUCUUAAGGAGUAAUUGCCCUCAAUAGUCAAUUUUUAACAAUUUUUUGUAAAGUUUUGUAAUGUUUUACAAAAAUCUUCUCCUCUGAAGCUACUAAGACAAUUUUAACCAAACUUGUCCACAAUCAUCAUUAGGGUAUCUAGUUUAAAAAAUGUUCGAUGACCCUGCCGUGAACCCGAUGGCCAUGGUAAAACUAGUACAUGGUAAAAUGCAGUUUUUUGCUCAUAUCUCUGAAACCAAAGCAUUUAGAGAAAAUCUGCUGUAGGUAAAAUUGUUCAUUAGGGUAUGAUCUAUCUGCCCUGAAAUUUUCAGACCAAUCAGGCAACUUGUUGUUGGGCUGCUGCCCCUGAAUUGGUGAUUUUUAAGAAAAUUUUGCGCUUUUGGUUAUUAUCUUGAAUAUUAUUAUAGAUAGAGAUAAACUGUAAAUAGCAAUAAUGUACAGCAGAGUAAGAGCUACAAAUAAGUCAACUUGACCAAAGUGGUCAAUUGACCUAGUCCUUUAUAGUCAAUAUUUAACAAUUUUCAUAAAUUUUGUAAAUUUUUACAAAAUAUUUUCCACUUUCACUUCUGGGCCAAUUCUAUUAUAGAUAGAGAUAAUUGUAAGCAGCAAGAUUGUUCAAUAAAGUAAGAUCUACAAACACAUCACCAACACCAAAACACAAUUUUGACUUGAAUCCAUCUGUGUCCUUUGUUUAAUAUGCACAUAGACCAAGGUGAGCGACACAGGCUCUUUAGAGCCUCUAGUUUAUGUUUUUAUGAUUCUGUAUUAUUAUUCAUACAUAUAUGGUCAUUGAUAAAUAUGUUUUAAUGGAAUAUACCUCUUACAUGUCAGUUUGACUAGAACUUGCCUUUUGGGUAAAAAAAUACCAAAACAUUCCAAAUAGUACUGCAACGAAUAUAAAAUAUUUUUAUGAGUUAUAAUGAUAUGCAAUGUUAUCUUUGUAGCAGGUUAUGUUAAGCAGCCUAAUGAAUGCAUUAUUUCUUACUUUUAAUUUAGAAUUCUUCUCUCCAAAAUAAUCACAAUAUUAGAAUGGUAAUAGUAAUACAUUUAAAAAUUAAAACACUUAUUUAUCUCUGAAUCAGUGAAUGUCUUAAUAUUCUUAUGAUAUAAUUGAGAAAUUUAUUUAUUUGUAAUAUGAUUUUUAGGUACAUAGAAUUCAUGGAAAAGUCUUCAGCAUUAAAUGAUCUAUCAAACUACCCACAGUUAUUAGACCGUAGUAAACAGAUUGGCUAUGAGAUCUCUAAAGUUGUCUAUAGAGGAUUCCAUACGCAUGACAAAUUACAGAAACUUCAUGAUGGUGCUGUCAAAACCAGGACUAAUCUCAAAAUAGCUGUUAGUAUAACAAAAGUGCACACACUGAAAUGUCUCGCCUUCUUUACUAAUCAUUGAUAUUAUGUUGAUACUCCUAAAUAUAAAGCUUUAUUACGACUGUCACAUAAACUUAACAUGAACCAUGAAAAUGAGGUCCAGGUCAGUCGAACCAUAUGCCAGGCAGACAUGUACAGCUAACAAUGCUUCCAUACAACAAAUAUAGUUGACCUAUUGCUUAUAGUUAAGAAAAUAGACCAAAACACAAAAACUUAACACUGAGCAAUGAAACUGUGAAAACAGUCAGGAAAUAAACUGCAUACUGACAUAUAGAUCAAUAAAAUAUUUCCAUACACCAAAUAUAGUUCACAUAGACUAAAUAUUAGAUAAAAGACCAAAACUCAAACACUAACUUUGACCACGAACCUUAAAGGUCAAGUCAGAUGACAUCUACCCGCUGAAUGUACACUACAAUCAUUCCAUACAACAAAUAAGUAAACUAUUGCAUAAGUAUGAGAAAACAGACCAAAACACAAAACUAACUAUAACCACUGACUAAAAUGAGGUCAAGUCAGAUGACAUCUGUCGUAGACAUGUACACUUACAACUUCCAUACAACAAAUAGUAAUCCUAUUGCAAAAGUAUGAGAAAAACAGACCAAACACAAAACUUAACUGUAACACACACCAUGAAAUGAGGUCAGUCAGAUACACUCCAGUUGACAUGUUCACCUACAGUCCUCAUACACGAAUAUACUAGCUAAUGCUAUAAUCUAAGAUCGGACUUGACGCACAAAACACACCUGUUCACUGAUCCAGAAAGAGGUGAGUCAGUGAAAAAGUCUACGGCAUGAGGACCUGCAAGGUACACAUAUAAAUAUAGUUAUCUAUUACUUACGUAAGAGAAAUUAACAUACAAAAAUCUGAACUUUUUUCAAGUGGUCCGAACCAUGAAAAUGAGGUCAAGGACAUUGGACAUGUGACUGACGGAAACUUCGUAACAUGAGGCAUCUUUAUACAAAGAAUGAAGCAUCCAGGUCUUCCACCUUCUAAAAUAUAUAGCUUUUAAGAAGUUAGCUAAUGCCGCCGCCGCCGGAUCACUAUCCCUAUGUCGAGCUUUCUGCAACAAAAGUUGCAGGCUCGACAAAAACAGGAAUACAUUUAUCUAAUGAAGUUGAAAAAUGUAAAAUGGUGAAGUUUAAGGCAAAUCUUUACUAGUUCUGUGAGACCUGUGUAAGCUUCGCUAUAUACAUGGGUUUUUUUUAUCAUUUAUGUAAUGAAAUUUUAUUUUAAACAUGCUUAUUGUGGUUUGAUUUUUGAUGUUUUUAACCAAAUAAUGCACUAAACAACCCCUGAUUCAUUUCUAAUGAAUGCAAGAGGAUAUUGAGUAUGUCAAAGAGACAGCUAAUUGACCUAAUUCAACAAAAUAAUUUAUGAAAUUUGUUUACAGAGACUAUGAAAAAUCUGUGAUCAAAAUAAUAGUACCUGUAUAAUAAAUAGUCAUAAUACAAGUACAGGCAAAGCAAUAAUAAAUAAUGUAGCAAUUACAAGUGAGAAAAAGAGACUAGAAAUAGAUAUCCCAAACAAUGGCUAAAAUUAUUUCUUAAUUUUUUCUUUUAUGCUUAUCAGUAAAUUUUUGAAAAGUACAGCUACUCUUUGUGUCUAACAAAAUGCAAAACAUGCAUACUUUUCUAUUGUAAUCACCUUCAACCGAUAAUGGACAUUAUUAUUUUACAGUAUGAAAAAGAAGAACAAGAACAAGAAAUGACUGACAUGAAACUGAAGAAUGAAAAAGACAGAAUACAACUAGGUGAGAAAAAAAAAACUUUGGUAGUUCAAGCAAAUUUAGUUCUCUCAGUGGUUGUUUAUAUGACUGAAAAUUUAUUAAGUCAUAUAUUGUAUGGACCAUAUGUCCGUAGACAAUGUUUUUAGGGAUUGAAGCCCAUCCAAAUUCAUUAAAACUGUGGUUUAGUGAUUUAUUAGUUCUACAAAGGUGCAAAGUCACUGUUGAAUAUAUUUUAGACUUUAAAAUUACAUACAGUGUAAGUCCUUGGCCAUGUCAAUAAUGAUUUUUAUUUAACUGUUUAUAUGAAUUUAAUUUAUAUUUAAUUAAAGAUUUCUUGCUGUUGUGCAAUACACUGUGCAUUUGCCUAAUACUUCGUACAUCUAUCUGUUUAACUUGUACACAAGUUGUAUCCAUUACACCAAAUUGGGAUAGCAAGGUCACUUUCCAAGUCCUUGAAAACAGCUUGUCAGAAUUCUGCCAAGUUGCACAAAUUUUGCCACAGGACUUCAAAGUUUUGCAUUUACUAUUUUCACAUGAUUUUUGGGGUUUCCCAUUAUAAAAGAAGGUCUAACCAUGUAUGCUUAUAUUAUUUGUAGACAUCAGGCAACAUACAUCUUCUGAAUCAUUAGAAACUCACAUUUUUAAAUGGGAUGUGUUACUUAAAUAUUGUGUUCAUAGAUUUGGAUAUAACUAGAUGAAUAAACAUAUAUUUUCAGAACACAAAUUGGAGGAAGAAAAUUUAUCACAUAAACAAGAGUUAGAAAAGUAAGUUAGAUAAUAUUGAUUUAUAAAGUAUUAAACCAAAUUUAGAAACUUAUUUAAUUUUAUGUUUCAGAAUUAUGUUAUCACCCAACAAAUCUGAAAACAUGUAGUAAAAUCUAUUACAUUUUGUUUUUUAAAACACUUGAUGCUGAUAGGUUUAUUUUAUACUUUUGUCUAUUUCAGGUAUUCAGUGUGAAAUCACAUUACCUGUUUCUAUUUGUGCAUAACAGUCUGGAAAACCAAAAAUGUGCUUUAUUGGCUUAAAAAUGUUUGACACAUGAAAUAGACAUUUGUCAAUUAAUUAAGACUCAAUAAUGAUCCCGAAAUAUUUUUGUUAGUGUUUCAAUUUUGUUUGUAGAUUGCAUACCUCUUAUCUGCUUUUACUCAUAUGUUAAAUACUAUAAUGUAUUCAUUGCUUAUCUAUUUUUUACAGGGAUAGAGUAAGACAUAAACUGAUGAUGGAACUUAAACAAGAGCAGAAUGUAAGAGAUGUCUGGAUUCAGGAAAAUACAGCAUCAUUAGAGGUAAUACUUGGCAUAAACACUAUGUCGUGGAGAAUUGUCUUAUUGGCAAUUAUACCACAUCUUCUUUUUUAUAUCUUGAUGAUAAUGUAUCUUUAUUUACACAUGCUUAGAGCAAUGGCCUUGGAUGUUGUUACCGAUAAUAAAACAAAAGGAGUAUACUAUUGAUUCGAUUUUUUUUUCUUUUGAUUUACUGCCCAAGAAAUGAAUAAAAAAGUUUCUGACAAUUUUAUGUUAGUAGUAAUUUUCAAAUAUGAUACUCUAAUAAGUUCAUCCUAUAACUCUGUUUGAUAGAUACAGCUCCAGUUUUAUAUAUGACCUUUUGGUAAAUGUAGAAACUUCGUUGUCAGCUGAGACUUAAAUUGGAUUCAAUUAUGUUUUGUGUGUACCUUGCAUUUUUACUUGUUUCUGUGUCUAGUAAAAACUAGUAUCUAUAUCCAGAGACUUAAAUUUCUCUCUAUUACAAACUAUAAUCUAUAUUAAGAGACUUUAUGCAUUAUUUGUUUAUGUCAAUAUUUUAUAAGUGUUAUGUCUUGUCUGACAGUUAAUUAUUUUUUAUAUUUUGAUCUACAGGGUAAGAAGCUACAAGAUGCUCAGACACUGAAGUACUACACAAACUUACAUGACCUAGGUGUUGACCUCAAUGGCUACAUACAGGCUAAAGCUCAACGUCCACAGAAAAUCAUCAAAGUAGUCGCAGAUAAAGAUUCAGCCAACUUCCAUCUUCAUCAUACCUAAUUGUUUUGAACUUUGAUGCUUUCAUUAUAUAGCCCACUCUGGGAAUGGAGAUGUAUUGCAUUCACUGUAUCUGACGGAUCGUCUAUAUUUUCAUCUGUUUGUUCAUCUAAAACCAUUUUCUUGACAUUUUUUUCAGGUUAGAUAGAAAGAUUUAAAAUUUAUAUAUUUGUUUUAAAUUCAAUUUAUUAAACAUUUAUUAUAAAACAUCAAUUCAUGAAAUCAUAGUAUCACCACAUGUUAAAUUUCUGUAACAACAAGGCUUACCUAUAUCAUCCUAUUCACAUAUCAAUUAAAUUAAAAAUGAUUUGAGUAGAUUCAAGAUUUUAGGAGCCAGUAAUGGUUUCUAUAUAUUGUACUGUUAUCAUAUCCUCAUUUUGUAAUCUACAACAUGAAAUUAAAACAAAUAUAUUAUAUUCACUCUGACAAAUCUAUACUUUUAUGUUUUUGGUAUUUUGAAAUGUCUUUCAGGUUGUUUGUAAUGUCAACUUCUAUUGAGGUCACUCUUAUAUGUUUUUAUUUAUUACUCAUACAUACUGUGAUAUAUAUACACUGAAUCUAUUUUGACAUAUUUUAAAAUCGUUAAGAGAAGAUAUUAUUUUAAUGUGAUCUUAAAUGAAAGGUAAUUACCACGCCUGGUCUAAAUAUAUUUUUAUAAAAUGGCUUCUGAUUGAAAAUGUUUGCUCAAGUGUCUUGUGAUAUUUUGAGUUAUAGAAUUAAGUACUGUUAAUACUGCAUAAGCUUAGCAAUGAACACUGUGCUAUUAUUUAUUCAAGAUCUUACUUGUUCACUAUUUCUUUAUUUGCACUGCACUUUUAAGUGAUAUUCUCUUAUACAUAUAGAUAUAUGAUAACACCAGGAUCCUUGUUUACACAUAGGUAUAUGAUAUCACUAAGGAAUUGCUUGAUAUCUCACAAAUACUGGGAAGGAUAUAAAUUUAAGUUGACAUUUUUUACAGACAUUUACGUAAAAAAUCUAAUUUAUAUGACUGGAAUGUAUUUGUAAUUCGGUUUCUGAAAUGCUUCAUGGUCUUGAGAAAUAUAUGCAAUUCAAAAUGUAAAGAUCUGAUGAUACUCUUAUUAAAGACUUUUGAUUGAGGUUUUUUAUUUAUUUAUGUAAGAGUGAAAGUGGGUUUGUUAAGCAUCCUAUAUAAUACAAGCAUGCUUAAUGGUUAACUUGUAAAUUGUUUUAUAUUUAACCAUGUGGAAACAACAACAUUGGGUAUUGUACUAAUACAAGGGGCUUAUGGGAGAUAUAAAGUCCAGCCUUAAUUGAAUUUGUUUAUGGAUAAAAGCAGUUAGACUCCAUACAUUAUGUCAUACCCCUUGCAAGUUACUACUGAACAAGUUGGUCCAGAAUUUAUCUAAAUGUUUAUAUUUUAUGUUAAUCCUGAAGACAUAAAGUUAAAAUUCCUAAUUCCCAAUAGAUAUCUAACUGAUAUUUCUUUUUUAUACGACCUCAAAAAUUGAAAAUUUUUUGGUCGUAUAUUGGUAUCACGUUGGCGUCGUC
RNAcentral lists this long non-coding RNA (19514 nucleotides) under Mytilus galloprovincialis (Mediterranean mussel). Lineage: Eukaryota; Metazoa; Mollusca; Bivalvia; Mytilida; Mytilidae. The record is from RNAcentral.